Molecule: ribosomal RNA, 520 nt
Filed under: uncultured Glomus
Lineage: Eukaryota; Fungi; Glomeromycota; Glomeromycetes; Glomerales; Glomeraceae
Description: SSU rRNA
Rfam family: Eukaryotic small subunit ribosomal RNA
Source: RNAcentral
AGCAGCCGCGGUAAUUCCAGCUCCAAUAGCGUAUAUUAAAGUUGUUGCAGUUAAAAAGCUCGUAGUUGAAUUUCGGGAUCAAUAUGUUGGUCGUGCCUCGGUACGUACUAGCUUAUUGGUUUCUCCUUUCUGAAGAACCAUGAUGUCAUUUAUUUGGUGUCGUGGGGAAUCAGGACUGUUACUUUGAAAAAAUUAGAGUGUUUAAAGCAGGCUCACGCUUGAAUACAUUAGCAUGGAAUAAUGAAAUAGGACGUUUGAUUCUAUUUUGUUGGUUUCUAGGAUCGACGUAAUGAUUAAUAGGGAUAGUUGGGGGCAUUAGUAUUCAAUUGUCAGAGGUGAAAUUCUUGGAUUUAUUGAAGACUAACUACUGCGAAAGCAUUUGCCAAGGAUGUUUUCAUUAAUCAAGAACGAAAGUUAGGGGAUCGAAGACGAUCAGAUACCGUCGUAGUCUUAACCAUAAACUAUGCCGACUAGGGAUCGGAUGAUGUUAAUUUUUAAUGUACUCAUUCGGCGCCUUAAC